Molecule: long non-coding RNA, 817 nt
Organism: Sycon ciliatum
Lineage: Eukaryota; Metazoa; Porifera; Calcarea; Leucosolenida; Sycettidae
Exons: 4
Source: RefSeq, a predicted model, not a curated record
AGCUAAACAACAAGAUGAGGGUGACGAUGGUCAGUUCUUGAGCUUCGAACGAGCAGAAAGCUAAACAACAAGAUCAGGAUGGCGAUGGUCAGUUCUUGAGCUUCGAACAGGCAGAAAGCUACACAACAAGAUCAGGGUGGCGAUGGUCAGUUGUUGAGCUUCGAACGGGCAGAAAGGAGGAGGCCAGCUGAGACACUAUAGGUGUGGUGAUGAAAGUUGGGCAAUGAUGAAUACAAGCAAAAGGCUGUUCAAAGAAUUUCCAACCACAACCCUGCAGACCGGGAGCCAAAUGAACAGGACCUCGACCAGCUUCAAUUACAUCUGAACAUGUUUCUAUAAGGAAGAGUUGACAAGGUACCUGGACAUUACAAUGACUCUUGCCCUCUUGAAAGAACACUCCGCAUGCACGCACAUGCAUACGGUGUUUUUUGUGCUUGUUGGCCCGCACACUGCUUGGUGUUUAGAAUAUACAUAUACCUUGUGUUACUGUGCAGAUACAUUGUGUCUGGUAUAGCGAAAUAUGACAAGCACUUGAUUGUAUUGGGAUGAGUGGCCUUUUGGAUUAUAAUGGAACUUGUACUUCACUCCUAUGAAUAAGAUACUGCCAGGCUGCCAAGGAUGUGCACACUUGACUGCUUUGGUCACGGGAAAAAUCCGCUGGCCCGCACUCCACCGGAUUAUAAACUGCAUUGCAUUGCUGGUGCCAAUGUAGUGGACUUUAUGUAUGGAGAUUUGUGAUGACCUUGGUGUACGCUAUUUACUGUUCCUUACGGGCAAAACUCCUACUCGGUCUAGACAAAACCUUGUAAACUUGAGU